This 252-nucleotide ribosomal RNA is filed under the name uncultured bacterium. Its description in RNAcentral is "partial 16S ribosomal RNA". It matches the Rfam family "Bacterial small subunit ribosomal RNA", at positions 524 to 775 of the family's 1533-position model. The record is from RNAcentral.
UACGAGGGGGGCAAGCGUUGUUCGGAAUUAUUGGGCGUAAAGGGUGCGUAGGCGGUUUGACAAGUCUUAUGUGAAAUCUUCGGGCUCAACCCGAAGCCUGCAUGGGAAACUGUCGGGCUUGAGUAUGGGAGAGGUGAGUGGAAUUUCCGGUGUAGCGGUGAAAUGCGUAGAUAUCGGAAGGAACACCUGUGGCGAAAGCGGCUCACUGGACCAUAACUGACGCUGAUGCACGAAAGCUAGGGGAGCAAACAG